Molecule: ribosomal RNA, 484 nt
Filed under: uncultured bacterium
Lineage: Bacteria
Description: partial 16S ribosomal RNA
Rfam family: Bacterial small subunit ribosomal RNA
Source: RNAcentral
AUUGAACGCUGGCGGCAGGCCUAACACAUGCAAGUCGAGCGGAUGAAGGGAGCUUGCUCCUGGAUUCAGCGGCGGACGGGUGAGUAAUGCCUAGGAAUCUGCCUGGUAGUGGGGGAUAACGUCCGGAAACGGGCGCUAAUACCGCAUACGUCCUGAGGGAGAAAGUGGGGGAUCUUCGGACCUCACGCUAUCAGAUGAGCCUAGGUCGGAUUAGCUAGUUGGUGGGGUAAAGGCCUACCAAGGCGACGAUCCGUAACUGGUCUGAGAGGAUGGUCAGUCACACUGGAACUGAGACACGGUCCAGACUCCUACGGGAGGCAGCAGUGGGGAAUAUUGGACAAUGGGCGAAAGCCUGAUCCAGCCAUGCCGCGUGUGUGAAGAAGGUCUUCAGAUUGUAAAGCACUUUAAGUUGGGAGGAAGGGCAGUAAGUUAAUACCUUGCUGUUUUGACGUUACCAACAGAAUAAGCACCGGCUAACUUCGUG